GACGAACGCUGGCGGCGUGCCUAAUACAUGCAAGUCGAACGCACUCUCGUUUAGAUUGAAGGAGCUUGCUCCUGAUUGAUAAACAUUUGAGUGAGUGGCGGACGGGUGAGUAACACGUGGGUAACCUGCCCUAAAGUGGGGGAUAACAUUUGGAAACAGAUGCUAAUACCGCAUAAAACCUAAACACCGCAUGGUGUAGGGUUGAAAGAUGGUUUCGGCUAUCACUUUAGGAUGGACCCGCGGUGCAUUAGUUAGUUGGUGAGGUAAAGGCUCACCAAGACCGUGAUGCAUAGCCGACCUGAGAGGGUAAUCGGCCACACUGGGACUGAGACACGGCCCAGACUCCUACGGGAGGCAGCAGUAGGGAAUCUUCCACAAUGGACGAAAGUCUGAUGGAGCAACGCCGCGUGAGUGAAGAAGGUUUUCGGAUCGUAAAACUCUGUGUUGGAGAAGAAUGUA
This 459-nucleotide ribosomal RNA is filed under the name uncultured bacterium. Its description in RNAcentral is "bacterial SSU rRNA". It matches the Rfam family "Bacterial small subunit ribosomal RNA", at positions 28 to 453 of the family's 1533-position model. The record is from RNAcentral.